AAAGGUGAAAAGCACCCCGGGAGGGGAGUGAAACAGUACCUGAAACCGUGCGCCCACGAGCAGUCGGAGCAACUUUCAGUUGUGACGGCGUGCCUUUUGUAGAAUGAGCCAGCGAGUCGCUGGCGCGGGGCGAGGUUAACCGAAAGGGAGCCGAAGCGAAAGCGAGCCUUAACAGGGCGACUUGAGUCCCGCGCCGCGGACGCGAAGCCGGGUGAGCUAUCCGUGGGCAGGCUGAAGCGGGGGUAAGACCCCGUGGAGGGCCGAACGCACGUCGGUUGAAAACGGCGGCGAUGACCUGCGGAUAGGGGUGAAAGGCCAAUCAAACCCGGAGAUAUCUCGUUCUCCCCGAAAUAGCUUUAGGGCUAGCGUCGCGCGUUCACCGCCGGAGGUAGAGCACCGGAUGGACGAGGGGGCUUCGCCGCCUACCGAAUCCAACCGAACUCCGAAUGCCGGCGGCCCAGAGCGCGGCAGUCAGAGCAUGUGGGCUAAGCUGUGUGCUCGAGAGGGAAACAGCCCGGACCGCCCGCUAAGGUCCCCAAGUUCCAGCCGAGUGGCAAAGGAUGUGCGUCCGCCCAGACAACCAGGAUGUUGGCUUAGAAGCAGCCAUGCAUUCAAAGAGUGCGUAACAGCUCACUGGUCGAGUGGACAUGCGCCGACAAUACACGGGGCUAAGCUGGACACCGAAGCGGCGGGAUUUUAAUUCAUUAGAAUCGGUAGGGGAGCUUCCCAUGGGCGGAGAAGCCGGAGGGCGACCGACGGUGGAGCGCAUGGGAGUGAGAAUGCUGGCAUGAGUAGCGAGAGACGAGAGAGUAACUCGUCCGCCGUGAACCCGAGGUUUCCUGGGCAAGGCUAAUCCUCCCAGGGUCAGUCGGGGGCUAAGGCGAGGCCGGUAGGCGUAGCCGACGCGCAGCAGGCAGACAUUCCUGCACCGCGCACGCGGCGCUACGACCGACGGGGCGACGGAUGGGGGUGGCUCGGCGGGGUUCUGGACGUCCCCGUGAUGGAGCGCGGCCCGCGGACCAGGGAAAUCCGGUCCGCAGAAGGGCGAGGCUCCGGACGAAGCACUUAAGCGAAGCGAGUGAGCCCGAGGUCCCUAGAAAAACCCCUAGGCAGGCGCGUGCGCGCCCGUACCGCAAACCGACACAGGUGGGUGGGUAGAACAUACCGAGGCGAUCGGGUCAACCAUGGUCAAGGAACUCGGCACAAUGGCCCCGUAACUUCGGGAGAAGGGGUGCCCGCGCGUACGUGAACGGACUUGCUCCGGGAGCGGAGGCGGGCCGCAGUGGAGAGGCCCAAGCGACUGUUUACCAAAAACACAGGACUCUGCAGAAGCCGCAAGGCGACGUAUAGGGUCUGACGCCUGCCCGGUGCCGGAAGGUCACGCGGAGGAGUUAGCUUUCGAGCGAAGCCCCGAAGCCAAGCCCCGGUAAACGGCGGCCGUAACUAUAACGGUCCUAAGGUAGCGAAAUUCCUUGUCGGGUAAGUUCCGACCUGCACGAAAGGCGCAACGACUUGGGCGCUGUCUCGACCAUGGACCCGGUGAAAUUGCACUGGUCGUGAAGAUGCGACUUACCCGCGGAAGGACGGAAAGACCCCGUGAACCUUCACUGCAGCUUGGCAUUGGCCGCUGGUCCCGCGUGUAGAGGAUAGGCAGGAGGCAUCGAUCCGGAGGCGCCAGCCCCCGGGGAGCCGCCCUUGGAAUACUGCCCUCGCGCGACCGGCGUCCUAACCCGAGGCCGUCAACCGGCUCGGGGACCGUGCCAGGCGGGCAGUUUGACUGGGGCGGUCGCCUCCUAAAGGGUAACGGAGGCGCGCGAAGGUCCGCUCGGGACGGUCGGCAACCGUCCUUUUGAAUGCAAGAGUACAAGCGGGCUUGACUGCGAGGCCCACAAGCCGAGCAGGUGCGAAAGCAGGCUCUAGUGAUCCGGCGGCCCCGAGUGGGUGGGCCGUCGCUCAACGGAUAAAAGGUACUCCGGGGAUAACAGGCUGAUCUUGCCCAAGAGUCCACAUCGACGGCAAGGUUUGGCACCUCGAUGUCGGCUCAUCGCAUCCUGGGGCUGGAGCAGGUCCCAAGGGUACGGCUGUUCGCCGUUUAAAGCGGUACGCGAGCUGGGUUCAGAACGUCGUGAGACAGUUCGGUCCCUAUCCUCCGUGGGCGCAGGAGAAUCGAUGGAGGCUGCCCCCAGUACGAGAGGACCGGGGUGGACGCACCUCCGGUGAACCGGUUGUCGACCAACGGCACGGCCGGGUAGCCGCGUGCGGCGCGGAUAACCGCUGAAGGCAUCUAAGCGGGAAGCCGUUCCAGGGAUUAGUUCUCCUUCCGGUAAGGGCCCAGGUAGACUACCUGGUCGAUAGACGGCAGGUGCAAGGGCGGCGACGUCCUCAGCCGAGCCGCACUAAUCGCCCGAGCUCUUCCGGAA
This 2420-nucleotide ribosomal RNA is filed under the name human gut metagenome. Its description in RNAcentral is "bacterial LSU rRNA". It matches the Rfam family "Bacterial large subunit ribosomal RNA", at positions 510 to 2925 of the family's 2925-position model. The record is from RNAcentral.